This 74-nucleotide transfer RNA is filed under the name Thermoplasmata archaeon. RNAcentral describes it as "tRNA-Glu". It matches the Rfam family "tRNA". From Rfam's summary of the family: Transfer RNA (tRNA) molecules are approximately 80 nucleotides in length. Their secondary structure includes four short double-helical elements and three loops (D, anti-codon, and T loops). The record is from RNAcentral. RNAcentral also lists the same sequence under 1 other name. Lineage: Archaea; Methanobacteriati; Thermoplasmatota; Thermoplasmata.
GGCCCAGUGGUCUAGCCGGUUAGGACGCCAGCCUCUCAAGCUGGAGAUCGCGGGUUCGAUCCCCGCCUGGGUCA